GGGAUUCACAUUCAACUGUAGGCCAUAACAGAAUGGCACAAUCAUAAAACAAAACAUGGCAACAAAGGAAGAAAAUGAACUGACCCCUGAUCAAAAGUCUGCAUACCCUUAGUUCUUAACAUGACAAGGAAUGUGGGAUCACUGAGUGAAAUUAACUGGAAGUAUACACAUUAUUCCACAACGUAUGUUUUAUACUUAAUACUUCAAGUAAAAAAAAUAUUCAGCAAACAUAUACAAAUGGCAGAUUUAGAGAACACAUUUUAAAUUGCUUGCAAUUAAGUAACUCUUAUAGUUCAUGAGUACAAAUAAAAAAAUUCAUCCAACAAUCCUGAUAUUCAAAAGUCCUGUGGAAAUGUUCAAUGCUUGUACAAUUGAUAUCAAAGGUCUACACACUCUUAGUGAGAAGGCAGUCUACACACUCUUAGUGAGAAGGCAGUCUACACACUCUUAGUGAGAAGGCAGUCUACACACUUAGUGAGAAGGCAGUCUACACACUCUUAGUGAGAAGGCAGUCUACACACUCUUAGUGAGAAGCAGUCUACACACUUAGUGAGAAGGCAGCUUUUGUUGAUGUAAAGGCUGAAAUCAAGACCAAUCAUGUUGACUUUUUAUCCCCUUUAUUAACUAAUCUUGUAACCAACAUCAUAAGUGAAGGAUUUUUUAUUACUGGUAAUGCUUGGGCUGUGAAGGUGUGGACACUGCAUCAAGCACGUUUUGCUUGGAUUACAGCAGUAGGUCAGUUGAAUAGGUCUCCAUCAACCAAGCAUACCUUGGCAGGAGUUGAAACUGAGUCAAAAGGUUAGAUUCAUGUGAUAUUAUGAAUGCAAGAUCAAGCUGAUAAACAAUCACAUUGUUUUCACAGCCUGUUUUAGUUCAGAUUAACCCAGGGUGCCAAUUAUUCCACAGGGCACUGUACUUAUUUGCUGGCAGGUAAAUACUUACGCACAUCAAUCUCAAAACUCCCCAUUAAAACUAUUCUCUCUCAAUCUGCAAUGCAAGUAAAUGAGCACUUUAAUCCAAGGAGGAGUAAAUACUUUAUAAUAACCCACUGUAGGGAGUUUAACAGGGUGACCACCUGGGGUUGAAAGCUUUGUUUCCAAUUGUCUCUCUGUCCUGAUAAUGAUUGUCGUGAAACCUGCUUGCUGGAUGCACCGCAAAACAGCCCUUGGCCCCCCAGGUGGCUGAAGCCUGCGAUGUUCUGUGUGGCC
Long non-coding RNA from Esox lucius (northern pike), 1208 nucleotides. NCBI's taxonomy places the organism in Eukaryota, Metazoa, Chordata, Actinopteri, Esociformes, Esocidae. The record is from Ensembl.